CACUGUCACGCAGACGUAGGCAGGGUAGGUGGCACCGUGGAAGCACUGUCACGCAGACGUAGGCAGGGUAGGUGGCACCGUGGAAGCACUGUCACGCAGACGUAGGCAGGGUAGGUGGCACCGUGGAAGCACUGUCACGCAGACGUAGGCAGGGUAGGUGGCACCGUGGAAGCACUGUCACGCAGACGUAGGCAGGGUAGGUGGCACCGUGGAAGCACUGUCACGCAGACGUAGGCAGGGUAGGUGGCACCGUGGAAGCACUGUCACGCAGACGUAGGCAGGGUAGGUGGCACCGUGGAAGCACUGUCACGCAGACGUAGGCAGGGUAGAUGGCACCGUGGAAGCACUGUCACGCAGACGUAGGCAGGGUAGGUGGCACCGUGGAAGCACUGUCACGCAGACGUAGGCAGGGUAGGUGGCACCGUGGAAGCACUGUCACGCAGACGUAGGCAGGGUAGGUGGCACCGUGGAAGCACUGUCACGCAGACGUAGGCAGGGUAGGUGGCACCGUGGAAGCACUGUCACGCAGACGUAGGCAGGGUAGGUGGCACCGUGGAAGCACUGUCACGCAGACGUAGGCAGGGUAGGUGGCACCGUGGAAGCACUGUCACGCAGACGUAGGCAGGGUAUGUGGCACCGUGGAAGCACUGUCACCCAGACGUAGGCAGGGUAGAUGGCACUGUGGAAGCACUGUCACACAGACGUAGGCAGUGUAGAUGGCACCGUGGAAGCACUGUCACGCAGACGUAGGCAGGGUAGGUGGCACCGUGGAAGCACUGUCACCCAGACGUAGGCAGUGUAGAUGGCACCGUGGAAGCACUGUCACGCAGACGUA
This is a long non-coding RNA of Oncorhynchus keta (chum salmon), 835 nucleotides long. RefSeq lists it as uncharacterized. The transcript has 5 exons. The record is from RefSeq and is a predicted model, not a curated record. Lineage: Eukaryota; Metazoa; Chordata; Actinopteri; Salmoniformes; Salmonidae.